This 73-nucleotide transfer RNA is filed under the name Bacillus cereus. RNAcentral describes it as "tRNA-Arg". It matches the Rfam family "tRNA". Rfam says of the family: Transfer RNA (tRNA) molecules are approximately 80 nucleotides in length. Their secondary structure includes four short double-helical elements and three loops (D, anti-codon, and T loops). The record is from RNAcentral. Lineage: Bacteria; Bacillati; Bacillota; Bacilli; Caryophanales; Bacillaceae. RNAcentral also lists the same sequence under 2 other names.
GUCCCUGUAGCUCAGCGGAUAGAGCAUUCGCCUUCUAAGCGAAGAGUCGGGAGUUCGAAUCUCUCCAGGGACG